This 450-nucleotide ribosomal RNA is filed under the name uncultured bacterium. RNAcentral's name for it is "partial 16S ribosomal RNA". It matches the Rfam family "Bacterial small subunit ribosomal RNA", at positions 354 to 796 of the family's 1533-position model. The record is from RNAcentral.
GUGGGGAAUAUUCCGCAAUGGACGAAAGUCUGACGGAGCAACGCCGCGUGAGUGAUGAAGGUUUUCGGACUGUAAAGCUCUGUUGUUUAGGACGAAAGUGCCUGUUGCAAAUAGUUACAGGUAUUGACGGUACUGAACGAGGAAGCCACGGCUAACUACGUGCCAGCAGCCGCGGUAAUACGUAGGUGGCAAGCGUUGUCCGGAAUUAUUGGGCGUAAAGAGCAUGUAGGCGGGAAUCUAAGUCUGUUGUGAAAAUGCGGGGCUCAACCCCGUAUUGCGAUGGAAACUGGGUUUCUUGAGUGCAGGAGAGGAAAGGGGAAUUCCCAGUGUAGCGGUGAAAUGCGUAGAUAUUGGGAGGAACACCAGUGGCGAAGGCGCCUUUCUGGACUGUGUCUGACGCUGAGAUGCGAAAGCCAGGGUAGCGAACGGGAUUAAAAACCCCUGUAGUCC